RNAcentral lists this ribosomal RNA (253 nucleotides) under Segatella copri DSM 18205. RNAcentral's name for it is "Prevotella copri DSM 18205 partial 16S ribosomal RNA". It matches the Rfam family "Bacterial small subunit ribosomal RNA", at positions 524 to 776 of the family's 1533-position model. Lineage: Bacteria; Pseudomonadati; Bacteroidota; Bacteroidia; Bacteroidales; Prevotellaceae. The record is from RNAcentral.
UACGGAAGGUCCGGGCGUUAUCCGGAUUUAUUGGGUUUAAAGGGAGCGUAGGCCGGAGAUUAAGCGUGUUGUGAAAUGUAGAUGCUCAACAUCUACACUGCAGCGCGAACUGGUUUCCUUGAGUACGCACAAAGUGGGCGGAAUUCGUGGUGUAGCGGUGAAAUGCUUAGAUAUCACGAAGAACUCCGAUUGCGAAGGCAGCUCACUGGAGCGCAACUGACGCUGAAGCUCGAAAGUGCGGGUAUCGAACAGG